GAUGAACGCUGGCGGCGUGCCUAAUACAUGCAAGUCGAGCGAACGGACGAGAAGCUUGCUCCUCUGAUGUUAGCGGCGGACGGGUGAGUAACACGUGGAUAACCUACCUAUAAGACUGGGAUAACUUCGGGAAACCGUAGCUAAUACCGGAUAAUAUUUUGAACCGCAUGGUUCAAAAGUGAAAGACGGUCUUGCUGUCACUUAUAGAUGGAUCCGCGCUGCAUUAGCUAGUUGGUAAGGUAACGGCUUACCAAGGCAACGAUGCAUAGCCGACCUGAGAGAGUGAUCGGCCACACUGGAACUGAGACACGGUCCAGACUCCUACGGGAGGCAGCAGUAGGGAAUCUUCCGCAAUGGGCGAAAGCCUGACGGAGCAACGCCGCGUGAGUGAUGAAGGUCUUCGGAUCGUAAAACUCUGUUAUUAGGGAAGAACAUAUGUGUAAGUAGCUGUGCACAUCUUGACGGUACCUAAUCAGAAAGCCACGGCUAACUACGUG
Molecule: ribosomal RNA, 497 nt
Filed under: uncultured bacterium
Lineage: Bacteria
Description: partial 16S ribosomal RNA
Rfam family: Bacterial small subunit ribosomal RNA
Source: RNAcentral